Molecule: ribosomal RNA, 504 nt
Filed under: uncultured bacterium
Lineage: Bacteria
Description: partial 16S ribosomal RNA
Rfam family: Bacterial small subunit ribosomal RNA
Source: RNAcentral
GAUGAACGCUAGCGGCAGGCUUAACACAUGCAAGUCGAGGGGCAGCAUAAAUAGUAGCAAUACUAUUGGUGGCGACCGGCGGACGGGUGCGUAACGCGUAUACAACCUUCCCUAAACAGGGGGAUAAUCUGGAGAAAUUCGGUCUAAUACCCCAUAACAUCAGAGCAGGCAUCUGUUUUGGUUAAAAUUUCCGGAGGUUUAGGAUGGGUAUGCGUAGCAUUAGCUAGUUGGUGAGGUAACGGCUCACCAAGGCGACGAUGCUUAGGGGGACUGAGAGGUUAACCCCCCACACUGGUACUGGGACACGGACCAGACCCCUACGGGAGGCAGCAGUGAGGAAUAUUGGUCAAUGGGCGGAAGCCUGAACCAGCCAUGCCGCGUGCAGGAUGACGGCUCUAUGGGUUGUAAACUGCUUUUGUACGAGGGUAAAGUGGGCUACGUGUAGCCUUUUGAAAGUAUCGUACGAAUAGGGAUCGGCUAACUCCGUGCCAGCCGCCGCCGUAA